Molecule: transfer RNA, 104 nt
Organism: Edhazardia aedis
Lineage: Eukaryota; Fungi; Microsporidia; Culicosporidae
Rfam family: tRNA
About the family: Transfer RNA (tRNA) molecules are approximately 80 nucleotides in length. Their secondary structure includes four short double-helical elements and three loops (D, anti-codon, and T loops). Further hydrogen bonds mediate the characteristic L-shaped molecular structure. tRNAs have two regions of fundamental functional importance: the anti-codon, which is responsible for specific mRNA codon recognition, and the 3' end, to which the tRNAs corresponding amino acid is attached (by aminoacyl-tRNA synthetases). tRNAs cope with the degeneracy of the genetic code in two manners: having more than one tRNA (with a specific anti-codon) for a particular amino acid; and 'wobble' base-pairing, i.e. permitting non-standard base-pairing at the 3rd anti-codon position.
Source: Rfam
ACUCCCAUAGCUCAGCUGGUUAGAGCAUUGUACUUAUGAGCUGUGUUCCAGUCAUAUGCCGCGUAGAAAUGCAGGGGUCACGGGUUCGAAUCCCGUUGGGAGUA